RNAcentral lists this unclassified non-coding RNA (245 nucleotides) under Dothideomycetes sp. Its description in RNAcentral is "partial contains 5.8S ribosomal RNA, internal transcribed spacer 2, and large subunit ribosomal RNA". Lineage: Eukaryota; Fungi; Ascomycota; Dothideomycetes. The record is from RNAcentral.
CGCACAUUGCGCCCUUUGGUAUUCCGAGGGGCACGCCUGUUCGAGCGUCAUUUAAACCAUCAAGCACCGCUUGGUAUUGGACGCGGUCGUAGCGACCCGUCCGCAACCCGUUGGCGGUAUCGUCCGGCUCUAAGCGUAGCAAGUUUUACCCUCGCUUUGGGAGCUCUGGCGGUGCCUGCCACCCAAUCUAAAUCUAGUACCUAAAGUUUGACCUCGGAUCAGGUGGGGAUACCCGCUGAACUUAA